ACGGAGGGUGCAAGCGUUGUCCGGAAUCAUUGGGCGUAAAGAGUUCGUAGGUGGUAUGUUAAGUCUGGUGUUAAAUCCCGAAGCUCAACUUCGGUUCUGCACCGGAAACUGGCAAACUUGAAUGUGGUAGAGGUAAAGGGAAUUCCCGGUGUAGCGGUGAAAUGCGUAGAUAUCAGGAGGAACACCGGUGGCGAAGGCGGUUUACUGGGCCAUUACUGACACUGAGGAACGAAAGCCGGGGGAGCAAAUGG
RNAcentral lists this ribosomal RNA (251 nucleotides) under uncultured prokaryote. RNAcentral's name for it is "partial 16S rRNA". It matches the Rfam family "Bacterial small subunit ribosomal RNA", at positions 525 to 775 of the family's 1533-position model. The record is from RNAcentral.